Molecule: long non-coding RNA, 1056 nt
Filed under: Gouania willdenowi (blunt-snouted clingfish)
Lineage: Eukaryota; Metazoa; Chordata; Actinopteri; Blenniiformes; Gobiesocidae
Description: lncRNA (ENSGWIG00000023257.1)
Source: RNAcentral
AUGGAUGAGUUUAGACGGUUUACGGACACCGACAGUCUGUUGCAUGAAAACAGACGACUGAAAAAUCUUUUGACAAAAGUUUGGACAGAAAAUGUGACCAAAAAGAGAGAACUGGCACAAGCACAGAGCGAGUGUAAUAAACAGAAGGAAAUCAUUGCAGAUCUUGAAAAGAAGGUGAAGGAAGCAAACUGUGCCAUGAACAUUGAAGAGAAAACAGAGCACCAGCCCCAAAGCAAUAUGUCUGUGAGUUCUGCACAGGCAGUACCACGGACUGCUAAAAGGGGGCGCAGGGAAACAAGUGUUGGGUUUCUGAGCAAGAUAGAUGAAAUAAAUGAAUUAUUUCAAAUGUCUUGCGCGGAGGAGACAACGAUACAGGAGCGGACAGAAAGGGAUAUAUAUGCUCCAAAAGAGAUCCUGGAGUCAACAAACUGCAGAAAAAGAAAGGGGAAAGUCAAUUCUGAAUAUUGCGACGAAAGGAUUUGUGACCUACAAAAUGAGAAAGAAGGCCUGCACCAGCAAAUGAGGGAGGAACUGGAGGAGAGAGAUGCCUAUAUUAAAAAGAUGAUGAUUAGCUACCAGGUGAACAUCAAUGAGCUGACUGAUGAGCGAAACCGCUACAUAACGAUAGCUCACAAGGGCGCUGCUGAGCUGGAACAGCUACGUGCACAGAUAAAUGCAGCGGACCUUGAUCACGAACAGAAACCUUCUGAUGCAGUGACCGACUCCCAACAGCCUGCCAAGAAAUGUGACUGUCACGCAACGAAACAACCACACGAAACAAAUGUAGAACUCGAUGACAACGUGCUGUUCUGUGAACUCAAGAAGGUCACAGAAGAGAACAACGCGCUGACGUCAGAACGAGACACCUAUAUCAACCACUUGAAGGUCCUCUUUGACGACUACAAUGCAUUGAGGACCCUAGUCCUCACACUGUCUUCAGAACUGAAUCAGAUUAAGGACCAGAACAACACACUGUCUUCAGAACUGAAUCAGAUGAAGGACCAGAACAACACACUGACUUUAGAACUGAAUCAGAUUAAGAGAACAACACGAUGA